GAUGAACGCUGGCGGCGUGCCUAAUACAUGCAAGUCGAGCGAACAGAUGAGGAGCUUGCUCCUCUGACGUUAGCGGCGGACGUGUGAGUAACACGUGUAUAACCUACCUAUAAUACUGGGAUAACUUCGGGAAACCGGAGCUAAUACCGGAUAAUAUCUUGAACCGCAUGGUUCAAUAGUGAAAGACGGUUUUGCUGUCACUUAUAGAUGGAUCCGCGCCGCAUUAGCUAGUUGGUAAGGUAACGGCUUACCAAGGCAACGAUGCGUAGCCGACCUGAGAGGGUGGUCGGCCACACUGGAACUGAGACACGGUCAAGACGCCUAAGGGAGGCAGCAGUAGGGAAUCUGCCGCAAUGGGCGAAAGCAUGACGGAGCAACGCCGCGUGAGUGAUGAAGGUCUUCGGAUCGUAAAACUCUGUUAUUAGGGAAGAACAAAUGUGUAAGUAAAUAUGCACGUCUUGACGGUAACUAAUCAGAAAGCCACGGCUAACUACGUG
Molecule: ribosomal RNA, 497 nt
Filed under: uncultured bacterium
Lineage: Bacteria
Description: partial 16S ribosomal RNA
Rfam family: Bacterial small subunit ribosomal RNA
Source: RNAcentral